GGAGUUGUGGCUCAGCAGUAGAGCGCUAGCCUCUCACGUGUAAGACCUGGGUUCGAUCCUCAGCACCACUU
RNAcentral lists this transfer RNA (71 nucleotides) under Ictidomys tridecemlineatus (thirteen-lined ground squirrel). RNAcentral's name for it is "Spermophilus tridecemlineatus (thirteen-lined ground squirrel) tRNA". It matches the Rfam family "tRNA". From Rfam's summary of the family: Transfer RNA (tRNA) molecules are approximately 80 nucleotides in length. Their secondary structure includes four short double-helical elements and three loops (D, anti-codon, and T loops). The record is from Rfam by way of RNAcentral. Lineage: Eukaryota; Metazoa; Chordata; Mammalia; Rodentia; Sciuridae.